Molecule: ribosomal RNA, 1204 nt
Filed under: metagenome
Description: bacterial SSU rRNA
Rfam family: Bacterial small subunit ribosomal RNA
Source: RNAcentral
GGCGUGAGAGCGUGAUCCCCCACAAUGGCACUGAGACACGGGCCAUACUCCUACGGGAGGCAGCAGUCAGGGAUAUUGCACAAUGGGCGAAAGCUUGAUGCAGCGACGCCGCGUGGGCGAUGAAGGCCUUCGGGUUGUAAAGCCCUUUUCUGGGGGAAGAGACAAGGACGGUUCCCCAGGAAUAAGCGCCGGCUAACUACGUGCCAGCAGCCGCGGUAAAACGUAGGGCGCAAGCGUUAUCCGGAUUCACUGGGCGUAAAGUGCGUUGAGGCGGUUCCGUAAGUUGGACGUUAAAGCCCCCGGCCUAACUGGGGGAGGCCGUUCAAUACUGCGGAACUUGAGGGCAGCAGAGGCAGGUGGAAUUCCCGGUGUAGUAGUGAAAUGCGUAGAUAUCGGGAGGAACACCCGUGGCGAAGGCGGCCUGCUGGGCUGCUCCUGACGCUGAAGGCGAAAGCUAGGGUAGCAAACGGGAUUAGAAACCCCGGUAGUCCUAGCCGUAAACGAUGGAUGCUGGGCGUGGGGGGUAUAGACUCCCCCCGUGCCGAAGCUAACGCGUUAAACAUCCCGCCUGGGGACUACGGCCGCAAGGCUAAAACUCAAACGAAUUGACGGGUCCCCGCACAAGCAGCGGAGCGUGUGGUUCAAUUCGAUUUACACGAAGAACCUUACCUGGGUUUGACAUGUGGGUAGUAGUGAAGCGAAAGCGGAACGACCCUUCGGGGAGCCUACACAGGUGCUGCAUGGCUGUCGUCAGCUCGUGCCGUGAGGUGUCGGGUUAAGUCCCGUAACGAGCGCAACCCUCGUCCUUAGUUACAAGUGUCUAGGGAGACUGCCGGCGACAAGCCGGAGGAAGGUGAGGAUGACGUCAAGUCAGCAUGGCCUUUAUAUCCAGGGCUACACACACGCUACAAUGGCCGGCACAAUGGGUUGCCAAGCCGCGAGGCGGAGCUAAUCCUCCAAAGCCGGUCUCAGUUCGAAUUGUAGGCUGCAACUCGCCUGCAUGAAGCUGGAGUUGCUAGUAAUCGCGCGUCAGCAAUAGCGCGGUGAAUACGUUCCCGGGGAUUGUACACACCGCCCGUCACGUCAUGGAAGCUGGCAACACCUGAAGCCGGUGGGCCAACCCGCAAGGGGGGCAGCCGUCGAAGGUGGGGCUGGUAACUGGGACGAAGUCGUAACAAGGUAGCUGUAGCGGAAGCUGCGGCUG